This 245-nucleotide ribosomal RNA is filed under the name uncultured bacterium. RNAcentral describes it as "partial small subunit ribosomal RNA". It matches the Rfam family "Bacterial small subunit ribosomal RNA", at positions 26 to 285 of the family's 1533-position model. The record is from RNAcentral.
AGAAUCAACGCUGGCGGCGUGCCUAACACAUGCAAGUCGCACGAGAAAGGGUAGCAAUACCUGAGUACAGUGGCGCACGGGUGAGUAACACGUGAAUAAUCUACCUCCGAGUGGGGAAUAACCUAGGGAAGCCUGGGCUAAUACCGCAUAACACUUACGAGUCAAAGCAGCAAUGCGCUUGGAGAGGAGUUCGCGGCAGAUUAGCUAGUUGGUGGGGUAAUGGCCCACCAAGGCGAUGAUCUGUA